Long non-coding RNA from Engraulis encrasicolus (European anchovy), 1222 nucleotides. RefSeq lists it as uncharacterized. The transcript has 4 exons. NCBI's taxonomy places the organism in Eukaryota, Metazoa, Chordata, Actinopteri, Clupeiformes, Engraulidae. The record is from RefSeq and is a predicted model, not a curated record.
UUCACUUUAGAAUGUCACAGCACAUCAUGGCACAACAGGGUCACAUGAUUCCAGUGCCAGCAGGUCUGGACAUGACACCACAACACAGUGUCAUCAUCAUGCAGCAAGUUGAAUUUUUUGAAGUGCAAAUUCAAGCGCCACCGCAGCAACCCACAUGUCUUAAUUGUGGCCAUCCCCUGCGGCACACCAAGGAGGUGUACCACAGUGGAGUGUGUACCUGGAUGCUCUGUCUACUCUGCAUUCUAAUGGGGUUGGUGCUGGGCUGUUGUCUCAUUCCCUUCUGCAUAGACAGCUGUAAAGAUGUUCACCAUUCAUGUCAACACUGUGAUGAAGUUCUGCUGAAACAGAAGAAAGGCUGCUGCUAGUUCACCAUUCAUGCCCCCCCCUCUCUCUACCACCACGAAAUGCUAUUUAUUCUUUUGUCACACUGUUUUAUUUGACUGUUUUAUGUGUUUUAUAGGCCUAUUUGAAGACAGUUAACAUUGUUGUCACAUUAUGUAAUACGUAGUUACAAAUAGGCCUACAGUAUUGUCAUUGGCCUUUAUUGGGCUGUGUAAAAAUAUGGAGAUGUUUAGUCCAAACAACCUAUAGGCCUACAUUCUUUUUCAACCAUAUUCAGUUUUUAUUGUACUUAAGUUAACAGUUGUAUGAUCACUGUUUUGUUGUUAUCCCAAUUAACCGAACAGCUCUGCUACCCAAGUUGUAAAAUCAAAUAAAAUGUUAAUGAAUGCUGCAAGUAACCUGCCUUCAGAGCAUUUGGGGGAAAAUGGAUCACCAUACAAGUACAAUUUCAAACUAGUACACAACAGUAUGAAUGAAUGACUGUGAAUAUCAUAAGACAUUUAUAUUUGUUGUUCUGUCAUAAUCAAUUCACUCAAUGAUUCAAGGAUUCAAGGAGUUUAUUGUCAUUGUCAAUGAAGUCAACGAAAUUGUGCAGCAACAACACUGCGUAGUUUGAAGUAGGCCUAUAGAAGUAAUCAAAAAGAAGUAGUCAAAUAAAGUCUAAAUACAUGAAGUAUAUCAUGAAGUAUAAUAAAUUAAAGUAAAUAAUAGUAAUAAUGUAAGUAAUAAUAAAUUAAUCAAGUAAAUCAAACAGUAAAAUAAAAACAGUUAGAUCCUCUCCCCACAAUUCAAGGUUAAUAACCCAGUGCUGUUGAUAUUUUUAAGGUGCACAACACACACACACACACACACACACACACACACACACACACACACACAC